Molecule: ribosomal RNA, 1267 nt
Filed under: Enterococcus durans
Lineage: Bacteria; Bacillati; Bacillota; Bacilli; Lactobacillales; Enterococcaceae
Description: bacterial SSU rRNA
Rfam family: Bacterial small subunit ribosomal RNA
Source: RNAcentral
UCGGAGCUUGCUCCACCGGAAAAAGAAGAGUGGCGAACGGGUGAGUAACACGUGGGUAACCUGCCCAUCAGAAGGGGAUAACACUUGGAAACAGGUGCUAAUACCGUAUAACAAUCGAAACCGCAUGGUUUUGAUUUGAAAGGCGCUUUCGGGUGUCGCUGAUGGAUGGACCCGCGGUGCAUUAGCUAGUUGGUGAGGUAACGGCUCACCAAGGCCACGAUGCAUAGCCGACCUGAGAGGGUGAUCGGCCACAUUGGGACUGAGACACGGCCCAAACUCCUACGGGAGGCAGCAGUAGGGAAUCUUCGGCAAUGGACGAAAGUCUGACCGAGCAACGCCGCGUGAGUGAAGAAGGUUUUCGGAUCGUAAAACUCUGUUGUUAGAGAAGAACAAGGAUGAGAGUAACUGUUCAUCCCUUGACGGUAUCUAACCAGAAAGCCACGGCUAACUACGUGCCAGCAGCCGCGGUAAUACGUAGGUGGCAAGCGUUGUCCGGAUUUAUUGGGCGUAAAGCGAGCGCAGGCGGUUUCUUAAGUCUGAUGUGAAAGCCCCCGGCUCAACCGGGGAGGGUCAUUGGAAACUGGGAGACUUGAGUGCAGAAGAGGAGAGUGGAAUUCCAUGUGUAGCGGUGAAAUGCGUAGAUAUAUGGAGGAACACCAGUGGCGAAGGCGGCUCUCUGGUCUGUAACUGACGCUGAGGCUCGAAAGCGUGGGGAGCAAACAGGAUUAGAUACCCUGGUAGUCCACGCCGUAAACGAUGAGUGCUAAGUGUUGGAGGGUUUCCGCCCUUCAGUGCUGCAGCUAACGCAUUAAGCACUACCGCCUGGGGAGUACGACCGCAAGGUUGAAACUCAAAGGAAUUGACGGGGGCCCGCACAAGCGGUGGAGCAUGUGGUUUAAUUCGAAGCAACGCGAAGAACCUUACCAGGUCUUGACAUCCUUUGACCACUCUAGAGAUAGAGCUUCCCCUUCGGGGGCAAAGUGACAGGUGGUGCAUGGUUGUCGUCAGCUCGUGUCGUGAGAUGUUGGGUUAAGUCCCGCAACGAGCGCAACCCUUAUUGUUAGUUGCCAUCAUUUAGUUGGGCACUCUAGCAAGACUGCCGGUGACGAAACCGGAGGAAGGUGGGGAUGACGUCAAAUCAUCAUGCCCCUUAUGACCUGGGCUACACACGUGCUACAAUGGGAAGUACAACGAGUCGCGAAGUCGCGAGGCUAAGCUAAUCUCUUAAAGCUUCUCUCAGUUCGGAUUGUAGGCUGCAACUCGCCUU